AGAGUUUCGAUCCUGGCUCAGGACGAACGCUGGCGGCGUGCUUAACACAUGCAAGUCGAGCGGAAAGGCCACUUCGGUGGUACUCGAGCGGCGAACGGGUGAGUAACACGUGAGUAAUCUGCCCUUGGCUUUGGGAUAGCCACCGGAAACGGUGAUUAAUACCGGAUACGACCACUUCUCGCAUGGGAUGGUGGUGGAAAGUUUUUCGGCCAGGGAUGUGCUCGCGGCCUAUCAGCUUGAUGGUGAGGUAAUGGCUCACCAUGGCUUCGACGGGUAGCCGGCCUGAGAGGGUGACCGGUCACACUGGGACUGAGACACGGCCCAGACUCCUACGGGAGGCAGCAGUGGGGAAUAUUGGACAAUGGGCGGAAGCCUGAUCCAGCAACGCCGCGUGAGGGAUGACGGCCUUCGGGUUGUAAACCUCUUUCAGCAGGGACGAAGCGCAAGUGACGGUACCUGCAGAAGAAGCACCGGCCAACUACGUG
Molecule: ribosomal RNA, 485 nt
Filed under: uncultured Nocardioides sp.
Lineage: Bacteria; Bacillati; Actinomycetota; Actinomycetes; Propionibacteriales; Nocardioidaceae
Description: bacterial SSU rRNA
Rfam family: Bacterial small subunit ribosomal RNA
Source: RNAcentral